RNAcentral lists this ribosomal RNA (306 nucleotides) under uncultured bacterium. Its description in RNAcentral is "partial 16S ribosomal RNA". It matches the Rfam family "Bacterial small subunit ribosomal RNA", at positions 507 to 807 of the family's 1533-position model. The record is from RNAcentral.
GACAGCAGUCGCCGCGGGAAUACGAGGGGAGCUAGCGUUGUUCGGAAUUACUGGGCGUAAAGCGCGCGUAGGCGGCUUUUUAAGUCAGAGGUGAAAGCCCGGGGCUCAACCCCGGAAUUGCCUUUGAAACUGGAAAGCUAGAAUCUUGGAGAGGUCAGUGGAAUUCCGAGUGUAGAGGUGAAAUUCGUAGAUAUUCGGAAGAACACCAGUGGCGAAGGCGACUGACUGGACAGGUAUUGACGCUGAGGUGCGAAAGCGUGGGGAGCAAACAGGAUUAGAUACCCGGGUAGUCCCUGUCUCUUAUAC